UUAAAUUGAAGAGUUUGAUCAUGGCUCAGAUUGAACGCUGGCGGCAGGCCUAACACAUGCAAGUCGAACGGUAACAGAAAGCAGCUUGCUGCUUUGCUGACGAGUGGCGGACGGGUGAGUAAUGUCUGGGAAACUGCCUGAUGGAGGGGGAUAACUACUGGAAACGGUAGCUAAUACCGCAUAACGUCGCAAGACCAAAGAGGGGGACCUUCGGGCCUCUUGCCAUCGGAUGUGCCCAGAUGGGAUUAGCUUGUUGGUGGGGUAACGGCUCACCAAGGCGACGAUCUCUAGCUGGUCUGAGAGGAUGACCAGCCACACUGGAACUGAGACACGGUCCAGACUCCUACGGGAGGCAGCAGUGGGGAAUAUUGCACAAUGGGCGCAAGCCUGAUGCAGCCAUGCCGCGUGUAUGAAGAAGGCCUUCGGGUUGUAAAGUACUUUCAGCGGGGAGGAAGGGAGUAAAGUUAAU
RNAcentral lists this ribosomal RNA (469 nucleotides) under Escherichia coli. Its description in RNAcentral is "bacterial SSU rRNA". It matches the Rfam family "Bacterial small subunit ribosomal RNA", at positions 1 to 464 of the family's 1533-position model. The record is from RNAcentral. Lineage: Bacteria; Pseudomonadati; Pseudomonadota; Gammaproteobacteria; Enterobacterales; Enterobacteriaceae.